RNAcentral lists this ribosomal RNA (372 nucleotides) under uncultured Glomeromycotina. RNAcentral describes it as "eukaryotic LSU rRNA". The record is from RNAcentral. Lineage: Eukaryota; Fungi; Glomeromycota.
UUGAAAGGGAAACGAUUGAAGUCAGUCGUACCGACGAGAAAUCAACUUAUCGUGUGCGAACUUGUGGGCGUGCGUGAGUUUCGGCCUCGCUGUUUGCAUGUUUGUGCGUUUUGGGUGUACUUUUUCGUAUGGUAGGCCAACGUCAGUUUCGAUUAUCAUAAAAUGACCGGCGGAAUGUAGCUUCGAUUUCGGUUGAAGUGUUAUAGCCUUUGGUAGAUGUGGUGAUUGAGACUGAGGAUUGCAACGAAUACCCUUUGGGCUUUCCGUCUGGCCUCUGAAAGUUGCUCAGGUGCCGAAAGCGUGCUUACGGUCAUCUAAGAUAACGUUCAACAGGUUAGAACGUGAUUACAUUCGUUAAGGAUGUUGACGUAA